Oryza meridionalis is the source of this 83-nucleotide non-coding RNA. The record is from Rfam. Lineage: Eukaryota; Viridiplantae; Streptophyta; Magnoliopsida; Poales; Poaceae.
ACCGGAUGAGACACUUUAUAGUACAACGAAUCUAGACAGGAAGUAUGUCUAGAUUCAUUGUACUAUAAAGUGUCCCAUCCAGU